GCUUGGUCGUGCUUUAUUGCCUUUAUUGCUUCAUUGUCUCUUUGAGAGUCUUCAAGUCAACAUGUUGGGCCUAUUACGUCAGCCAUUACUCAAAUCUGUCAAAAUUGCACAGUUUGGUGUUAAAAAUGUUGCACAACCGAUCCCAAGAGUACUCCAAAGGUCAUAUGGAAGCUGUCGAAAAUGUGGAUAUUAUGACCCUCUGAAUCAACCAAAAGGCGAUCGCGAAUUCGACGGUGUUUCUGUUGGAAUCAGUUUGGCGACGAUCGGACUUGUCUUCUUCUAUUCCUACCACUUUAUCAAAAAUGUCCUGGCAAGUCCAGAAAAUAAAAUUCCGGUCCAACGAAGGGUUCAUG
Molecule: long non-coding RNA, 353 nt
Organism: Aphidius gifuensis
Lineage: Eukaryota; Metazoa; Arthropoda; Insecta; Hymenoptera; Braconidae
Exons: 3
Source: RefSeq, a predicted model, not a curated record